CAGCGUGCCGCGAGCGUAGUAACUUACACCUCGCUUUUGCAGUGCCCUGUGUUGCCGGCCGUUAAACACCCCCCUAAACUUAGUGGUUGACCUCGGAUUAGGUAGGAAUACCCGCUGAACUUAAGCAUAUCAAA
Molecule: ribosomal RNA, 134 nt
Filed under: Hypoxylon lividipigmentum
Lineage: Eukaryota; Fungi; Ascomycota; Sordariomycetes; Xylariales; Hypoxylaceae
Description: partial 28S ribosomal RNA
Source: RNAcentral